RNAcentral lists this ribosomal RNA (1454 nucleotides) under Candidatus Saccharimonadota bacterium. RNAcentral describes it as "bacterial SSU rRNA". It matches the Rfam family "Bacterial small subunit ribosomal RNA". The record is from RNAcentral. Lineage: Bacteria; Candidatus Saccharimonadota.
UUAUUUGAGAGUUUGAUCCUGGCUCAGGACGAACGCUGGCGGCGUGCCUAAGGUAUGCAAGUCGAACGCGUCCGCCUUUGGCGGAUGGCAUGGCGAACGGGUGAGUAACGCGUGGGAAUCUACCCCCAAGACGGGGAUAACCCCGAGAAAUCGGGGAUAAUACCCGAUGGUCCCGUGAGGGUAAAGAUUUAUCGCUUGGGGAUGAGCCCGCGUCCCAUCAGCUAGUUGGUAGGGUAAUGGCUUACCAAGGCUAUGACGGGUAGGGGGCCUGAGAGGGUGUUCCCCCACAAUGGCACUGAGACAAGGGCCAUACACCUACGGGUGGCAGCAAUCGGGAAUCUUGCACAAUGGACGAAAGUCUGAUGCAGCGACGCCGCGUGGAGGAUGAAGGUCGAAAGAUUGUAAACUCCUCAAUUGCCAGUAAUGGCGAGGAUAAAGCACCGGCUAACUACGUGCCAGCAGCAGCGGUAAUACGUAGGGUGCGAGCGUUGUCCGGAUUUACUGGGCGUAAAGGGCGCGUAGGCGGUCCGUUAAGUCUGGUGUGAAAUCUCCCGGCUCAACUGGGAGAAUCGCGCGAGAGAUGGACGGACUAGAGGUAGAUAGGGGGUGGCGGAACCUCACAAGGAGGGGUGAAAUCCAAUGAUCUGUGAGGGAACACCGAAGGCGAAGGCAGCCACCUGGGUCUUUCCUGACGCUGAGGGACGAAAGCUAGGGUAGCGAAACGGAUUAGAUACCCGUGUAGUCCUAGCCGUAAACGAUGGGCACUAGAUGUUUGCGUUAAAGUCAGUGUCGAAGCUAACGCGUUAAGUGCCCCGCCUGGGGAGUACGGUCGCAAGGCUAAAACUCAAAGGAAUUGACGGGGGCCCGCACAAGCGGUGGAGCGUGUGGUUUAAUUCGAUGAUAAGCGAAGAACCUUACCAGGGUUUGACAUUCCGGCGACAGCUGCGGAAACGCAGUCUUCCUUCGGGACGUCGGAACAGGUGUUGCAUGGCUGUCGUCAGCUCGUGGCGUGAGCUGUAUGGUUAAGUCCCAUAACGAGCGCAACCCCUACCGUUAGUUAGAAAUGUCUAACGGGACUGCCCCGGCAACGGGGAGGAAGGUGGGGACGACGUCAAGUCAGCAUGGCCCUUAUGCCCUGGGCGACACACACGCUACAAUGGCGGCUACAGCGGGUUGCAAUGCGGUAACGCGGAGCUAAUCCUUCAAAAGCCGUCUCAGUUCGGAUUGGGGUCUGCAACUCGACCCCAUGAAGCCGGAAUCGCUAGUAAUGGCGGGUCAGCCAGACCGCCGUGAAUACGUUCUCGGGUCUUGUACACACCGCCCGUCAAGUGGGGAAAGUCGAAGCUCGCCGAAACGCGUCUGACGCGUCAAGCGGGAGUCGGCGAUCAACACUAAGUCGUAACAAGGUAGCCGUAGGGGAAUCUGCGGCUGGAUCACCUCCUUUCUAAAGGAGU